Long non-coding RNA from Oncorhynchus tshawytscha (Chinook salmon), 2224 nucleotides. NCBI's taxonomy places the organism in Eukaryota, Metazoa, Chordata, Actinopteri, Salmoniformes, Salmonidae. The record is from Ensembl.
AAAAUGAUACAAAUUACAUUAUAGGCCCACCACACUCACACCAAAACCUAGGUUAGACCCCCACCCAUAUAAAAAAAAAAAACAGCAACAAAAAGCUUUUUCGGAUCCGUACAUCCCAUAAUCCAAGUGGACUUGAACACCGCAAAACAGCCAAAUCUACCGCAUAUCCGGGAACCCAAGUGGACACGAACGCGAUCAAAGCUAAAACUCCGCUAACAAGCGCCAACUAGAAAAGAUAAAAACAGCACCAUUUUCGAUCCGGGUUAAAGGAACACCCCCCUAGUUAUCCUAUCUGCCACUACCCCUUAAUAAAGAAACAAGGUUCAUGCCCUCUAACACCACAAAAAGACCUAAAAACCACGGCCACUACUUUUCCCUGCACAUCGCACCUUACUGCAUAUAAGCAACGUGACUCAACAAAAAUCGGAGGAAAAAUAACUAAACCACAUUCAAAGACCUAUCACCAGACCUAUGGGUUACCCAGAACCCAACUAAAAAUUCUAUAGGAACCCACAGAUGUCCACUCUACCCUCUACCUUUCCUGGACCCACAGAACCUUACCUUCGGGUAUUUCCAACCCCAAACCCCUACCAGAGCAGACCGCUCCCAACGCUAACACACAAGUCAAUGGUGACACGUAGGUCAAAUACACACUUUUCAUAGGAGGAUCUAUCUUACUUCUACACAUCACAGGAACUCCACGUAUGGCUCCUCUUGACCCCCAGGACUUCUAGUCCUACUUAAAAUUCACCUGGUACCUCUCGGAUACCCACAACCCAAACAGCACCCCAAAAGCAAAGAGUCCACUUCUCCUAUACAAUUCCCCACACCUUAGCCCUGGCCCCUAACCCGAACUGCAACCCCAGUUCCAACCCCUCUGUGUAUGUGUGUGUGUGUACAUGUAUCUGUACCUGACCUCAUGUUGUUAACCCUGUCUGUCCCUUACAAUGUAUUGUGUCCCCUGUUUUGUCACACUCCACUCUUCAUUCAUACCAAAUAACAUUUGAUAAGCUUGUGUCACUACAAGGUUGAACAUUUAUCACAUUGGGUCUCCAUUGUAUUGUUAUUAGAUGUGCUUGACCUCCACUCUAACUGCCCAUCCACUUUACUGCAUCCCUAUUCCACUCUCACCUUUAUCUGACUCCUCCACACCUCAACCUGUUAGCGGUUAUCCUACCUAGUAACAGUACAGACCAAUCGAAAUAUCCUAAGCCGCAUUCCCACACGCGCACACACCGGAGAGUUAGCUCUCCUCACAGCUUGAGGAGACUACCGGGACAGUGAUCAUUUCGCUCCACACAUCCAAUCAGGACUACAUUCAAGGCAAGUAAAUUGCACAGUACACCCUACUGUACAUGUAGAUAUAUAUACAUACAUUUUUACUACUUUUUGCACCUUUUAUUUCAAUUUUAUUUAUAUAUUCUCCUCCCUGCUACCUGAUGAAGCCAAGUAAGGCAGAAACGCGUCGUGGCUGGGAUGCCCCUAGACCCAUUGUGAGACUGUGAGGAAAGCAGAUUCCACAUGGACUUCGGGGGCAUCUCCUUUUGGCUACUCUUUUAUUUAUACACUUUUCUUUCCUUAAUUGGACUUUUACACAGCUCUCAUAUAUAUGCACACACUAGGAUGUAGUGGAGUGUGACGUUGUAUGCUAUCUGUUGUAUGUUUAUGCUUUUGUAUAUGUAAAAAAUAUGUGUAUAGGCACAUCCCCUUUCAUGUUCAUGUGUGUAUGCAUGUGUGCCCCCCCCACCUCAUUCUUGGUCCCAACCCUGCUGACAGACAGACACUAAUACUUAGCCAUCGGCCCUUUUACCAGUAGGCUCCCCUAGGUAUAUAAAGGUGGCCAUUAUGACCAUAAAAUAGUUCUUUUAUAGUAUUUGAGAGCUACAAUGACUACAGACUCUUAAAAAUGUACUUUAUAAUUAUCUUUAUUGAUCCCUUGGAUCCUGCAACAAUAAUCACUAGGGAACCAAUUUAUAUUUAACAAAAUAUCCCAAUUUCUUUUCUUCUCUUUGGGCUACCAUGACCAUGGAACCUGGACCAAUAGGAAACAACUAAACCUAUAAACAAAAUAAUACAAAUAAAAAAUUAAUACAUAUGUACAUAAAUAUAUAUAUUAUUUUAUUUUCAAAGCCUCUUGAACUCAGGGUUACCAUGACCAUGGACCCUUGACCAAAAGAAACAAUAAAAUAGAACACAAAUAGACCAAAAUAAAAAAAAAAAAAAA